ACACUGACGUCGCGAUGCAUAUCAAUAAGCGGAGGAAAAGAAACUAACUAGGAUUCCCUUAGUAACGGCGAGUGAAGCGGGAAGAGCUCAAAUUUGAAAUCUUCAAGGUUCUACCUUGACGAAUUGUAGUUUAAAGAAGUGUUUUCUGUUGGAGUUUUGGUAAAAGUUCUUUGGAAUAGGACAUCAUAGAGGGUGAGAAUCCCGUAUUUGACCAUUUCUUCCAGCUGUGUGAUACACUUUCAAAGAGUCGGAUUGUUUGGGAAUGCAGUCCAAAAUGGGUGGUAAAUUUCAUCUAAAGCUAAAUAUUGGCGAGAGACCGAUAGCGAACAAGUACCGUGAGGGAAAGAUGAAAAGAACUUUGAGAAGAGAGUUAAACAGUACGUGAAAUUGUCAAAAGGGAAGCGUUUGACACCAGUGUUGUUUUCUCGAAGAUCAAUUAAAAAUGACCGGAUUUUGUGUUGUAUUGACUUUAUCAGCUUUCUGCACUUUUUUCUUGUCUUUUUUAAUGCACUUUUCGUUUAACAAGUCAACAUCAAUUUCUUUUGUUGUAAAAGGGUCAUUGGAAGGUGGCUUUCAUUUCGGUGAAAGUGUUUAUAGCCUUUGACUUCUGCAAUCGGAGAGAUUGAGGUCUGCAGCGUAGAUCCUUCGGGGUUAGAUACAUUUGUGCUAAGUUAUAGUUUUUCAUAGACAACAUGUUGACUAUGAUUAAUCAUGUAGCUUACUCGCUUAUGCUAUUUUACCUACGCUUAGGAUGUUGACGCGCGUGUGUGCGUG
This 774-nucleotide ribosomal RNA is filed under the name uncultured Neocallimastigales. Its description in RNAcentral is "partial large subunit ribosomal RNA". It matches the Rfam family "Eukaryotic large subunit ribosomal RNA", at positions 25 to 635 of the family's 3401-position model. The record is from RNAcentral. Lineage: Eukaryota; Fungi; Neocallimastigomycota; Neocallimastigomycetes; Neocallimastigales.